Long non-coding RNA from Cebus imitator (Panamanian white-faced capuchin), 842 nucleotides. RefSeq lists it as uncharacterized. The record is from RefSeq and is a predicted model, not a curated record. NCBI's taxonomy places the organism in Eukaryota, Metazoa, Chordata, Mammalia, Primates, Cebidae. The transcript has 2 exons.
AUUGGGUGGCAUUUGUGAGCACAAAAGAGAAGACUCAGGCAUUCAGAAGGCCCUUUCAGCAAAGGGCGCCACAGGCCUGCUGGCUGAGAUUCUCCUGAGGUCACCAGGAGCAGAGCACAGAGGGACAACACAGCUUUUGCGCUUCCAGCUGGCUCCCAUCAAGAAGUUAGAAGGAAACCUGCAAACGCAUUUCCUGCUGUCAUCUCUCCACCACAGAAUGACUUUCCCUGGCAGAGCUGGGGGAGGGGAGCGGGCAGCAGGCCCCCCAGGAGGCCCUGGGCAGGAAUAUUAAUACCCCAACUUCUCAGCACAAGAGGAGGGAGGAUGAGCGGCCACGGCAGUCAGGUCCUGGGGGCCCUGAAAGGUGGUUGCUGAGCAGCCCGUGGGAGGCACUGAUCCGCCAGCUCACGGCAGGGGCCGCCCAAGUCCUAAUGAAAACAUCUAGCUCCUGGCAGGGCGCAGCCGACACAUCGUCCGGCCUUCUCGGCCACCUGGGAGAGGAUGGGCGCCGCACGCGGACACCCAACCUGCCGGGCUGUGCGCGCAGUGACAUCGCUUUUCUCCCGGCAGGCGCAUCCAUCUCGCUGGGUCUGGAUAGAUAAUACAAUCUCUCUGCCCACACCCCAUUUGCUGAGAGACAGCCUGGGCUUCUCCAUUUUUUAUGGGCUCACUUAGCUUGGAGGAAAUCCAGAGGUCAGAGCCGGCGCAGACGCUCCAGUCACCUUGCCCGUCCGGGCCCGCAGCCUUUCCAAAACAGGCUCACCCACGGGGCCCUAAAUUAUGGCGAUUACACUGCAAUUCGCAGCGCGAUAUUACUUUGAUACACUACCUGCUGCAGCCUG